RNAcentral lists this ribosomal RNA (502 nucleotides) under uncultured bacterium. Its description in RNAcentral is "partial 16S ribosomal RNA". It matches the Rfam family "Bacterial small subunit ribosomal RNA", at positions 30 to 523 of the family's 1533-position model. The record is from RNAcentral.
AUUGAACGCUGGCGGUAUGCUUAACACAUGCAAGUCGAACGGCAGCACGGUCUGUAGUAAUACAGAUGGGUGGCGAGUGGCGGACGGGUGAGUGAUACGCAGGAAUCUGCCCUAUAGAGGGGGAUAACUCGAGGAAACUCGAGCUAAUACCGCAUAGUCUCUACGGAGUAAAGCUGGGGCAACCUGGCGCUAUAGGAGGAGCCUGCGUCUGAUUAGCUAGUUGGUGGGGUAAAGGCCUACCAAGGCGACGAUCAGUAGGUGGUCUGAGAGGAUGAUCACCCCCACUGGGACUGAGACACGGCCCAGACUCCUACGGGAGGCAGCAGUGAGGAAUAUUGGACAAUGGGGGCAACCCUGAUCCAGCAAUACCGCGUGUGUGAAGAAGGCCUUAGGGUUGUAAAGCACUUUAGGCGGGGAAGAAGGUAUGUAUUUUAAGAGAUAACAUAUUUGACGGUACCCGCAGAAUAAGCACCGGCUAACUCUGUGCCAGCCGCCGCGGUAA